Molecule: long non-coding RNA, 560 nt
Organism: Salvia splendens (bonfire salvia)
Lineage: Eukaryota; Viridiplantae; Streptophyta; Magnoliopsida; Lamiales; Lamiaceae
Exons: 3
Source: RefSeq, a predicted model, not a curated record
CUCCUUUUCUGCCACAACAAACAAGCCAUUAUUAACUAAAGUACUAGCACCACAAGGAGACAAAUGCAGUUAAAGUUGCUGCAAGAUAAAACAAGAUUAAAAACAACCCAAAUCAGAACCUCACGAGUACACACUCUCAUCUAUAAAGGCAGCCCCUCCAUACUUACCAAAUCCCAUCCACAUACCAUUAAAGGAAUUCAGCAACACAGCAAUUACAGGAACAAGUAGCAAUCUCAAGUGCUUAUCAGUGCAGAAACCCACCCACAAGAGGAACGUCGUCGCACGACGAGUUAUCCCAAGUCAGGAAGCGCCCGUUUGAAAGAAUUAAGCAGACGAGAAUUAAUGGUGGAAGAGGGAAGGUGAAGAAGGUGGAAAUGGAGGGUCUCUACUUGAAGAAACUGUCGGCCAUGAGGGAGAGGAAGAAGAAGAAAGGAUUCUUGGGCUUGCUCCCAUUUGUUUGGAAAAGAAUUUGGGCUCCCACAAUUUAAUUAAAUUUGUUUUGGGCUCAUUUAGUUGUAAGACCCACACUUGUAUAAUUCUUUAUUGGUUAGACUUUUUAA